This 442-nucleotide ribosomal RNA is filed under the name uncultured bacterium. RNAcentral describes it as "partial 16S ribosomal RNA". It matches the Rfam family "Bacterial small subunit ribosomal RNA", at positions 338 to 795 of the family's 1533-position model. The record is from RNAcentral.
CCUACGGGAGGCAGCAGUAGGGAAUCUUUCACAAUGGGCGAAAGCCUGAUGGAGCAACGCCGCGUGCAGGAUGAAGGCCUUCGGGUUGUAAACUGCUUUUAUAAGCGAGAAAUAUGAUGGUAACUUAUGAAUAAGGAUCGGCUAACUACGUGCCAGCAGCCGCGGUCAUACGUAGGAUCCGAGCAUUAUCCGGAGUGACUGGGUGUAAAGGGUUGCGUAGGUGGCAUAAUAAGUAGCUGGUGAAAUCUGGUGGCUCAAACAUUCAGACUAUUAGCUAAACUGUUAAGCUCGAGACCGUUAGGGGUAACUGGAAUUUCUAGUGUAGGAGUGAAAUGCGUAGAUAUAAGAAGGAACACCAAUAGCGUAGGCAGGUUACUGGGACGGUUCUGACACUAAGGCACGAAAGCGUAGGGAGCAAACGGGAUUAGAUACCCGUGUAGUC